Molecule: long non-coding RNA, 632 nt
Organism: Nerophis ophidion (straightnose pipefish)
Lineage: Eukaryota; Metazoa; Chordata; Actinopteri; Syngnathiformes; Syngnathidae
Exons: 2
Source: RefSeq, a predicted model, not a curated record
GUACAGUAAUGUUAAUUAUGCACGCACGUGUGUGUGUCUUUAUGUGUGAAAAGAUAAAGUUGCACAAUAUGUUCGGUGAAAAAGUCUCCAGUUUGACGGCUCUCCCACGCAAUUAUCAUACCAAGAAGAAACGGGAACUUAAGCAAGUGUUUUAAUACACUUCAAAAGAAGAGGCGCGCAUGAGGUUGCAUCAUCCAGCCAAUAAACGCCGAAGCGCGGAUACUCACGGAUGCAAAGGCAGGCCACGAGUUUAGCCGGGGUCUCCGGUACCGGGCAGACGGGGAACAGCGGCUUGAUGAGUAUUCUCCAUCGCCUUCUAGUGAGCUGUGCGCCUCACUUCUCUGGAUCUCCUUCUUGACCCUGACUGCCUCCCUAGAUCCUCGACUUCCCUCGCUUUGGACCCGGACUUCAGUACGCCUCUCUCCAACCCCACAGACCUCACGCUUGGAUCACAGACCUCUUUCUGCCCAGCCCCUUUGGACUUGUUCGCCUCUACAACCAACACACCCUAACAACAAACUCCUGGUAAAUACUUUCUUGUUAGUUCCUGCACAUAAUCUUGCAUGCACACACAUAGUAGCAUACACACUGCACUCACUCCUCAAAAGCUCAAUAAACCCUGUUGACCGAGA